CAAUAUGAAAGUCUUGUCCAGAUUCAAUCCCAGCCAAGUAAAUGGAAUAUUCAAGGGUACUUCUCCAAGCUCCAAUUUUUCUUUUUUCUGUCGAAUCCCAAGUCACAAAAUUGAUCUUCACACCACUUAUCGUAUUCAUGUACAGGAUGAUCAUUUUGUUUGCAUUAAAAUUUCUUUGUAUGCUAGUUGCAAAAUAAAUUUUACUUUUACAAUAAUGCUAUACAUCCAAAU
This 231-nucleotide long non-coding RNA is filed under the name Arachis ipaensis. Its description in RNAcentral is "long non-coding RNA (AIPA_LNC000585)". Lineage: Eukaryota; Viridiplantae; Streptophyta; Magnoliopsida; Fabales; Fabaceae. The record is from RNAcentral.